AAAUUACACAAUUAUGUUUAUUUGCAUUUAAAAUAAAUUAAUAAUGAAUUAUUUAUUUAUUUUUUUCGAUCACGUGACGUUUUUGAGUUCUAUGAUUGGUCAAUAACAGAGCGCGGAUUUUUCCAUGGACGAUUUGAAUGUUUGGAUGUUGAAAGUGUUGAUAGAAAAAAAGGAGAUAAAACCAGUUGCAGAAUAUUGGUACAUGAUGUUUCCAUAAGCUGAAUCUGUCCUGCCCUGGAGUACAUGAAAUUCUUCACAAUAUUACUUGUUUAAGAAUUGAAGAAAAGGUUAAAAUUGCAAGCAUAUUUCAACGAAAACUUAGCCGACUACCAGUCACACUGCCCACCAGCCAAGACGUCUGACCAGCUAAAAUGAGGGACGCAGUCCACCAGCCAAGUCCCUCGGCCAGCUCGGCUGACCCAGUGCGGCCUGUCAAGGGAUGACCAAGUCCAUCAACUAGCUCGGCUGACUACCAGUGCGGCCUGUCAUUGAACAACCAAGUCCAUCAACUAGAUUGGCUUACUACCAGAGCGGCUUUUCAAGGGAUGGUCAAGUCCGUCAACUAACUUAACCUACUACCAGUGCCGCAUGUCAAGAGAUGGCCAAGUUCGUCAACUAGCUCGGCUU
Molecule: long non-coding RNA, 627 nt
Organism: Saccostrea cuccullata (small rock oyster)
Lineage: Eukaryota; Metazoa; Mollusca; Bivalvia; Ostreida; Ostreidae
Exons: 3
Source: RefSeq, a predicted model, not a curated record